This is a long non-coding RNA of Cebus imitator (Panamanian white-faced capuchin), 1297 nucleotides long. RefSeq lists it as uncharacterized. Lineage: Eukaryota; Metazoa; Chordata; Mammalia; Primates; Cebidae. The record is from RefSeq and is a predicted model, not a curated record. The transcript has 5 exons.
ACAUGUGAAGAACAUGCAAGAUUGUUGCAUAGAUGAAGACAAAGGUUUGGAGAUUUAGGAAGCUUGCUCAAGAUCAUAAUGUUGAGGAACCAGCCUCCUUAGUUGCUUCUGAUUGUAAACUAGCUGUGAGAAGGGCACCACUCUGCUACAAAAGCAAUCUUAGAAAUUAACCAGCACAAAGAUCAUCCAUGACUAGUUUAGCUAUGGGACAUAGUUAAAGAAACAAUCGGGGCAUUUGAACAUCGUUUAAACAGAAAUUUCCCAAAUUGAAGCACAAAGAGGAAAAAGAGUCUCAAAAACCCAGAAAAUUGAAGAACUGUGGACAAUAUCAAAAGGGAUUCAUUUGGAAGGAGUGCAUUUUUAUCAGAGAGACUGAAAAGCCUUUGAGAAUCAGUUAAAAAAAGGAAUGCUCAUGAGAGUCACAGUGGUUCCCUUUGCUUCACUCCCUCUCUCUCCAUGCUGUAUUCUAAACCUUCCAAAGACUAAAAGACAUGGGCAUUUGGUAAUUUUUAAAGUAUUUUCUUCAUUUGUAAGAGUGAAAUGGAAGCUCAUAGAAGCCAGGUGAUGGCAAGCGCUCACAAGUUGGAUGAAAGGACAGCAAGUAGGUGAGGCAAAGCCCUGAAUGCCUUAAGUAGCUCAUCCUGGUAACCACACGAAGAGGCUUCUGGUGAAAGGGAAGAAAAGAUUGCUGCCAAUUUCUAGGGAAGCUGCCCAGAACUGCUGCACACAGGUCCACUGAGGACCAACUUAGGUUUCUACUCCUGCAACCAAGAAUGACAAGCUCCCACUUACAUUGCUGGCCUACAUGUUUGAAACCUUCAAGCACUCAUGGAGUACAAACAUUUACUCUCUGGCUAUGUGGUAUUAGUGCUGCCUGUGACCAAAGGAUGAAAGAAAGAAAAUAAGUUUAAAAAGAAGCAAUGAGAGAAGCCAGAUGGCUAUGCAUCUAUAGAAAAAGAGGGGAAUUUUAGUGGUUCUAGGGGAAACAAAGAUAACAAACUAGGAAAGCAAUUCAAGAACACGCAGACCAAGUAGCAACAUACAUGAAAGCACAGCAUGAAAGAAGAUCCCUUCAUAUGAAAGUUAAACAUUGAGAAGACGAUUUUAUGUGGUAACUUAAAACUAUUACCCCCUUGUAUGUUUUCUCCAAGAGGGUAGUAAGGACUUAUUUAAAACAGAAGCAUUAGAAAUAAGAUUCACCAAUAAGAUAGUUGAAACAAUAUAUAGACAUUGAGACAAAAUUCUGAGCAUAUUUUACCUAUAUAUUAAGCCACUAUAAAAAAUUGUGACACUUUCA